Nemania sp. NC0429 is the source of this 79-nucleotide non-coding RNA. The record is from the annotation of a GenBank genome assembly. NCBI's taxonomy places the organism in Eukaryota, Fungi, Ascomycota, Sordariomycetes, Xylariales, Xylariaceae.
GGGCAUGUGGUGUAACUGGUGCACACCGGCGUCUCAAUAACUAAGUCCGGAGAAGUCGGUUCGAUUCCGACCUUGUCCA